RNAcentral lists this ribosomal RNA (119 nucleotides) under Helianthus annuus (common sunflower). Lineage: Eukaryota; Viridiplantae; Streptophyta; Magnoliopsida; Asterales; Asteraceae. The record is from RNAcentral.
GGUUGCGAUCAUACCAGCACUAAUGCACCGGAUUCCAUCUGAAUUCCGAAGUUAAGCGUGCUUGUGCGAGAGUAGUACUAGGAUGGGUGACCCACUGGGAAGUACUCGUGUUGCAAACC